Molecule: ribosomal RNA, 460 nt
Filed under: uncultured bacterium
Lineage: Bacteria
Description: partial 16S ribosomal RNA
Rfam family: Bacterial small subunit ribosomal RNA
Source: RNAcentral
CCUACGGGCGGCUGCAGUGAGGAAUAUUGGUCAAUGGCCGGAAGGCUGAACCAGCCAAGUCGCGUGAGGGAAUAAGGCCCUAUGGGUCGUAAACCUCUUUUGUCAGGGAGCAAAGGCGUCCACGUGUGGACGAGAGGAGCGUCCCUGAAGAAAAAGCCUCGGCUAACUCCGUGCAAGCAGCCGCGGUAAUCCGGAGGAUGCGAGCGUUAUCCGGAUUUUUUGGGUUUAAAGGGUGCGUAGGCGGAGUGUUAAGUCAGCGGUAAAAGUUCGGGGCUCAACCCCGGCGUGCCGUUGAAACUGACGCUCUUGAGUGAGGGAGAAGCAAGCGGAAUGCGUGGUGUAGCGGUGAAAUGCAUAGAUAUCACGCAGAACGCCGAUUGCGAAGGCAGCUUACCGGCGAUCAACUGACGCUGAGGCACGAAAGUGCGGGUAUCGAACAGGAUUAGAGACCCGAGUAGGC